Molecule: transfer RNA, 73 nt
Filed under: Bacteroidales bacterium
Lineage: Bacteria; Pseudomonadati; Bacteroidota; Bacteroidia; Bacteroidales
Description: tRNA-Pro
Rfam family: tRNA
About the family: Transfer RNA (tRNA) molecules are approximately 80 nucleotides in length.
Source: RNAcentral
GGGGGUAUAGCACAGUUGGUAGCGCGCUACGUUCGGGACGUAGAGGUCGGGCGUUCGAGUCGCCUUACCCCGA